ACGGGAGGCAGCAGUGGGGAAUAUUGGACAAUGGGGGAAACCCUGAUCCAGCGACGCCGCGUGAGUGAAGAAGUAUUUCGGUAUGUAAAGCUCUAUCAGCAAGGAAGAAAAUGACGGUACUUGACUAAGAAGCUCCGGCUAAAUACGUGCCAGCAGCCGCGGUAAUACGUAUGGAGCAAGCGUUAUCCGGAUUUACUGGGUGUAAAGGGAGCGUAGACGGUUUUGCAAGUCAGAAGUGAAAGCCCGGGGCCCAACCCCGGAACUGCUUUUGAAACUGUAGAACUGGAGUGCAGGAGAGGUAAGUGGAAUUCCUAGUGUAGCGGUGAAAUGCGUAGAUAUUAGGAGGAACACCAGUGGCGAAGGCGGCUUACUGGACUGUAACUGACGUUGAGGCUCGAAGGCGUGGGGAGCAAACAGGAUUAGAUACCCUGGUA
This 434-nucleotide ribosomal RNA is filed under the name uncultured Lachnospiraceae bacterium. Its description in RNAcentral is "partial 16S ribosomal RNA". It matches the Rfam family "Bacterial small subunit ribosomal RNA", at positions 341 to 792 of the family's 1533-position model. Lineage: Bacteria; Bacillati; Bacillota; Clostridia; Lachnospirales; Lachnospiraceae. The record is from RNAcentral.